This 466-nucleotide long non-coding RNA is filed under the name Vigna radiata. RNAcentral describes it as "long non-coding RNA (VRAD_LNC002842)". The record is from RNAcentral. Lineage: Eukaryota; Viridiplantae; Streptophyta; Magnoliopsida; Fabales; Fabaceae.
AGAAAAAUUGGUUUUUCUGGAACACAAAAUCCUUGAGUUAAGAAAGUUAUUUUAACAUUCAAAGUUCAAGCACAAACUCUCUUUUUAACCAAUCUCACUCAUUCCCAACUUCUUUCUUUUUCCUUUAUUUUUACAAUGAGCUCAUCUUUCAUGCUUUUUCUUUUCUUCUCUUUUCUUUCUCAUACUUUUCUUUCAUUUAACACUUGAGCUCAAUGCCUUUCUUCUGAUUUUCAAUUUCCCCCAACAACCCCAAAGUUGAACCUUAUCAUUAUCAUACAAUUAUUUUCAACCCAACUCAAGGUAAGGAUUUUCAAAGCAAGGGUUUUCAUCCUGUUUCAAGGCUAGGGUUAAAAAAGGAUAGAAGAAACAUGUUCUCUUUACUUUGGGUGAAUAUUUGGCUAAGUAUGGCUUCCAAAAAUGGCCUUGAUCAUAUGACAUACACAUGCAAUUCAAUAAUCAUAAAGAU